Molecule: long non-coding RNA, 306 nt
Filed under: Panax ginseng (ginseng)
Lineage: Eukaryota; Viridiplantae; Streptophyta; Magnoliopsida; Apiales; Araliaceae
Description: long non-coding RNA (PGIN_LNC006364)
Source: RNAcentral
GGCAUUGACCGGCUGUUUUUCAAACCCAGAAAAUAUUCUAAGUGUCCAGAAAUUUUUUUUUGGCAAAUGUCAGGCCUUAUAUCUCGGUCAUCUUUAAUGUGUUUUGUGUUCUAAAGGUUGUUAUGUGUAGCACGUUAUGUGGUAUUUAACCUCCAAAAAGAAUCAGGUCCAUAUAUAUUACAGAUUAAGAGUUAUUUAAGGUCAAAGUGGGUUGACCGGCAUUGACCAGAAAAUUCUGGGCAGCCCAGAAUUUUCUAAGUGUUAAUUUUUUCUGACAAGGUUUGACCAUACUUUAGAUGCUUGAUU